UUGACCUCGGAUCAGGUAGGAAUACCCGCUGAACUUAAGCAUAUCAAAAGCCCGGGAAGGAAA
This 63-nucleotide ribosomal RNA is filed under the name Xylaria sp. 5186. RNAcentral's name for it is "partial 28S ribosomal RNA". The record is from RNAcentral. Lineage: Eukaryota; Fungi; Ascomycota; Sordariomycetes; Xylariales; Xylariaceae.